CGCCUUGCCAGCCCGCUCAGAAACUUAAAGGAAUUGACAGGACCCCGCACAAGCGGUGGAUCAUGUUGUUUAAUUCGAUGAUACGCGAAGAACCUUACCAGGUCUUGACAUCCCCCGCGAUGCUUUAGAGAUAAAGCGGAGGUAUUCGGGGAGACAGGUGGUGCAUGGUUGUCGUCAGCUCGUGUCGUGAGAUGUUGGGUUAAGUCCCGCAACGAGCGCAACCCCUAUUGCUAGUUACCAUCAUUAAGUUGGGGACUCUAGCGAGACUGCCAGUGAUAAACUGGAGGAAGGUGGGGAUGACGUCAAAUCAUCAUGCCCCUUAUGACCUGGGCUACAAACGUGAUACAAUGGCUGGAACAAAGGGAUGCGAAGCAGUGAUGUGGAGCGAAACCCAUAAAAACAGUCUCAGUUCGGAUUGAAGUCUGCAACUCGACUUCAUGAAGUCGGAAUCGCUAGUAAUCGCGGAUCAGAACGCCGCGGUGAAUACGUUCUCGGGGUUU
This 500-nucleotide ribosomal RNA is filed under the name uncultured Acholeplasma sp. RNAcentral's name for it is "bacterial SSU rRNA". It matches the Rfam family "Bacterial small subunit ribosomal RNA", at positions 903 to 1382 of the family's 1533-position model. Lineage: Bacteria; Bacillati; Mycoplasmatota; Mollicutes; Acholeplasmatales; Acholeplasmataceae. The record is from RNAcentral.